This 376-nucleotide ribosomal RNA is filed under the name Shewanella sp. enrichment culture clone TTGE_LM_266. Its description in RNAcentral is "partial 16S ribosomal RNA". It matches the Rfam family "Bacterial small subunit ribosomal RNA", at positions 1019 to 1387 of the family's 1533-position model. The record is from RNAcentral. Lineage: Bacteria; Pseudomonadati; Pseudomonadota; Gammaproteobacteria; Alteromonadales; Shewanellaceae.
UUCGGGAACGCUCAGACAGGUGCUGCAUGGCUGUCGUCAGCUCGUGUUGUGAGAUGUUGGGUUAAGUCCCGCAACGAGCGCAACCCUUAUCCUUAUUUGCCAGCGUUUAAUGGGGGGAACUUCGGGGAAACGGCGGGGGAAAAACGGGAGGAGGGGGGGGACAACGUCAAGUCUUCGUGGCCUUUACAAGGAGGGUUACCCACGUGCUCCAAGGGGCGAUAAAGAGGGUGGCAACCCUGCGAGGGAAAGCUAAUCCCUAAAAGCCUGUCGUAUUCCGGAUUGGAGUCUGCCACUCCACUCCAUGAAGUCGGAAUCUCUAGUAAUCGGGGAUCAAAAUGCCGCGGUGAAUACUUUCCCGGGUUUUGUACACCCAGAA